UGAUGACUUCAUACCUAGGC
Molecule: non-coding RNA, 20 nt
Filed under: Mus musculus (house mouse)
Lineage: Eukaryota; Metazoa; Chordata; Mammalia; Rodentia; Muridae
Source: RNAcentral